GAUGAACGCUACGCGGGCGAGGCUUAACACAUGCAAGUCGAGGGCAGCGUGGGGGCAGGCAAAGUGCUCCGACGGCGACCGGCGGAAGGGUGCGUAACACGUGAGCGACUUGCCCGUCACAGGGGGAUAACCGGCGGAAACGGCGACUAAUACCCCAUAUGAUGUGAUGCUGCAUGGCAUCGCAUUGAAAGAUUCAUCGGUGGCGGAUAGGCUCGCGGGACAUUAGCUAGACGGCGGGGCAACGGCCCACCGUGGCGACGAUGUCUAGGGGUUCUGAGAGGAAGACCCCCCACACUGGGACUGAGACACGGCCCACG
This 317-nucleotide ribosomal RNA is filed under the name uncultured bacterium. RNAcentral's name for it is "partial 16S ribosomal RNA". It matches the Rfam family "Bacterial small subunit ribosomal RNA", at positions 46 to 335 of the family's 1533-position model. The record is from RNAcentral.